This 482-nucleotide ribosomal RNA is filed under the name uncultured bacterium. RNAcentral's name for it is "partial 16S ribosomal RNA". It matches the Rfam family "Bacterial small subunit ribosomal RNA", at positions 30 to 507 of the family's 1533-position model. The record is from RNAcentral.
UGAACGCUGGCGGCAGGCCUAACACAUGCAAGUCGAGCGGCAGCGGGUCCUUCGGGAUGCCGGCGAGCGGCGGACGGGUGAGGAAUGCAUCGGAAUCUGCCCUGUCGUGGGGGAUAACCUAGGGAAACUUAGGCUAAUACCGCAUACGACCCACGGGUGAAAGCGGGGGAUCGCAAGACCUCGCGCGAUAGGAUGAGCCGAUGUCCGAUUAGCUAGUUGGCGGGGUAAAGGCCCACCAAGGCGACGAUCGGUAGCUGGUCUGAGAGGAUGAUCAGCCACACUGGGACUGAGACACGGCCCAGACUCCUACGGGAGGCAGCAGUGGGGAAUAUUGGACAAUGGGCGCAAGCCUGAUCCAGCCAUGCCGCGUGGGUGAAGAAGGCCUUCGGGUUGUAAAGCCCUUUUGUCCGGGAAGAAAUCGUCUGGGCUAAUACCCCGGGCGGAUGACGGUACCGGAAGAAUAAGCACCGGCUAACUUCGUG